This 161-nucleotide non-coding RNA is filed under the name uncultured Clostridium sp. RNAcentral describes it as "Lysine riboswitch". It matches the Rfam family "Lysine riboswitch aptamer". Rfam says of the family: Riboswitches are metabolite binding domains within certain messenger RNAs that serve as precision sensors for their corresponding targets. The record is from RNAcentral. Lineage: Bacteria; Bacillati; Bacillota; Clostridia; Eubacteriales; Clostridiaceae.
CUGAUAGAGGCGCGGCUGACAAGAGUAGGCUCAUGGAAGGGACAGGAAUCCCGGGCCGAAAGGGGAUGCCGCCGAGGCUGUGCAGGAAUUCCUGGUUCUGCAUAUGCCGGGCUGCCGGAGAAUAUCCGGCGGACUGUCGCAGUUUCUGCGGAGCGCUGUCA